This 72-nucleotide transfer RNA is filed under the name Diaphus luetkeni. RNAcentral describes it as "tRNA-Leu (CUN)". It matches the Rfam family "tRNA". From Rfam's summary of the family: Transfer RNA (tRNA) molecules are approximately 80 nucleotides in length. The record is from RNAcentral. Lineage: Eukaryota; Metazoa; Chordata; Actinopteri; Myctophiformes; Myctophidae. RNAcentral also lists the same sequence under 2 other names.
GCUUCUAAAGGAUAAUAGUCAUCCGCUGGUCUUAGGCUCCAUUAACUCUUGGUGCAAAUCCAAGUGGAAGCU